UAGCCAUUCAUUCGGGUACAAUAAACGGUCAGAUGUAGUCUGAUUUCAUUUUUUUAUUUAUUAAUUUUACCUUAUUUAUUGAACAAGAUUUUACAGAAGGGCAAAUUUGUAAGUUACCUUAUGAAUUUAAUCUCUCUCAUGCCAACUCCCAUCAAUCACGGGAUUUAUUAUCUAGAGGAUUCAAGGAUUCAAAGAAUCAAAAGUAAUCCAGAGGAUUGACGGUGGAAAUUUCAAUUUAUUUUUCAAGAAUUGUUCACCAGAAUCUGUCCUCUCCUUUCUCUGCUUUUUUUUUUUUCCUAUCAUUGGAGUUCAUUCGGAAGCCAUUUUUCAACAAGUUAUUCGAUGUUUUUUUUUUUUACGAACUGUGAGGAUGUUAAUUCUGAGAUAUUCUAAAGAAGAAAGGAAAGGUGUUGGUUUCUGAUUUUCCUGCUUGGAGUUGUCGCGUGAGUGGCUGUUGCUCGGAGCCGUCGAAGUGAAUGAUCGUCUGAUCUUAUAUAUAUUAGCAAAAGGGGCAUGGGUUGGAGCCACCGGGCAUGUAUAAGGUUUUCUACCAUGUAUGCCAUUGAAAUUGAGAACAAAGAUGUCAAGCUCUUCAACUGUGUUCACGUCUAUGUGCGUUUACAAUUGUAAAACACAUGAGUAUUAAUUAAGUGAUUAUUAUUGAUCCUAUAUAUGAUUUGAUGGUUUUGUUAGCGUAUGAAUUCAAAAUUGUGAUUAGUGGUUACAUAUUA
This is a long non-coding RNA of Salvia miltiorrhiza (redroot sage), 731 nucleotides long. RefSeq lists it as uncharacterized. NCBI's taxonomy places the organism in Eukaryota, Viridiplantae, Streptophyta, Magnoliopsida, Lamiales, Lamiaceae. The transcript has 2 exons. The record is from RefSeq and is a predicted model, not a curated record.